GUAGGGAGCGAGCGUUAUCCGGAUUCAUUGGGCGUAAAGAGCGCGUAGGCGGCCUCUCAAGCGGGAUCUCUAAUCCGAGGGCUCAACCCCCGGCCGGAUCCCGAACUGGGAGGCUCGAGUUCGGUAGAGGCAGGCGGAAUUCCCGGUGUAGCGGUGGAAUGCGCAGAUAUCGGGAAGAACACCGAUGGCGAAGGCAGCCUGCUGGGCCGCAACUGACGCUGAGGCGCGAAAGCUAGGGGAGCGAACAGGAUUAGAUACCCUGGUAGUCCUAGCCGUAAACGAUGGAUACUAGGUGUGGGGGGCUCCGCCCUCCGUGCCGCAGCCAACGCAUUAAGUAUCCCGCCUGGGGAGU
Molecule: ribosomal RNA, 352 nt
Filed under: uncultured bacterium
Lineage: Bacteria
Description: bacterial SSU rRNA
Rfam family: Bacterial small subunit ribosomal RNA
Source: RNAcentral